CCUACGGGAGGCAGCAGUGGGGAAUAUUGCACAAUGGGGGAAACCCUGAUGCAGCGACGCCGCGUGAGUGAAGAAGUAUUUCGUUAUGUAAAGCUCUAUCAGCAGGGAAGAAAAAGACGGUUCCUGAGUAAGAAGACCCGGCUAAAUAAGUGACAGCAGCCGCGGUUAUUAGGGGGAGGCAAGCGUUAUCCGGAUUUAUUGGGGUUAAAGGGUGCGUAGGCUGUGGAAGAAGUCAGCGGUGAAAUGCCCCCGCUCCACGGGGUGAAGGGCCAUUGAUACUGCCUUGCUGGAAUGCGGAUGCGGUGUGAGGAAUGUGUAGUGUAGCGGUGAAAUGCAUAGAUAUCACACAGAACACCGAUUGCGAAGGCAUCUCACGAAUCCGCGAUUGACGCUGAUGCACGAAAGCGUGGGUAUCAAACAGGAUUAGAUACCCGAGUAGUC
RNAcentral lists this ribosomal RNA (441 nucleotides) under uncultured bacterium. RNAcentral describes it as "partial 16S ribosomal RNA". It matches the Rfam family "Bacterial small subunit ribosomal RNA", at positions 338 to 795 of the family's 1533-position model. The record is from RNAcentral.